CAUAAGCUAGCUUGACUGCGAGAGUGACGGCUCGAGCAGGUGCGAAAGCAGGUCAUAGUGAUCCGGUGGUUCUGAAUGGAAGGGCCAUCGCUCAACGGAUAAAAGGUACUCCGGGGAUAACAGGCUGAUACCGCCCAAGAGUUCAUAUCGACGGCGGUGUUUGGCACCUCGAUGUCGGCUCAUCACAUCCUGGGGCUGAAGUAGGUCCCAAGGGUAUGGCUGUUCGCCAUUUAAAGUGGUACGCGAGCUGGGUUUAGAACGUCGUGAGACAGUUCGGUCCCUAUCUGC
RNAcentral lists this ribosomal RNA (288 nucleotides) under Enterobacter cloacae. Its description in RNAcentral is "partial 23S ribosomal RNA". It matches the Rfam family "Bacterial large subunit ribosomal RNA", at positions 2358 to 2645 of the family's 2925-position model. Lineage: Bacteria; Pseudomonadati; Pseudomonadota; Gammaproteobacteria; Enterobacterales; Enterobacteriaceae. The record is from RNAcentral.